RNAcentral lists this ribosomal RNA (502 nucleotides) under uncultured bacterium. RNAcentral's name for it is "partial 16S ribosomal RNA". It matches the Rfam family "Bacterial small subunit ribosomal RNA", at positions 28 to 507 of the family's 1533-position model. The record is from RNAcentral.
GACGAACGCUGGCGGCGUGCUUAACACAUGCAAGUCGAACGGUGAAGGGGCCUGCUUUUGUGGGCCCUGGAUGAGUGGCGAACGGGUGAGUAACACGUGAGUAACCUGCCCCCUUCUUCUGGAUAACCGCAUGAAAGUGUGGCUAAUACGGGAUAUUCUGGGUCUGUCGCAUGAUGGGUCUGGGAAAGAUUGCGCCUUUGGGUGUUUUUGGUGGGGGAUGGGCUCGCGGCCUAUCAGCUUGUUGGUGGGGUGAUGGCCUACCAAGGCGGUGACGGGUAGCGGGCAGGAGAGGGGGGGCCGUGACAGGGGGACCGGGAAACUGCCCAGACUGCUACGGGAGGGAGCAGUGGGGAAGAUUGCAGAAUGGGCGCAAGCCUGAUGCAGCGACGCCGGGUGAGGGAUGGCGGCCUUCGGGUUGUAAACCUCUUUCGCCAGUGAAGCAGGCCUGCUCCUUGUGGGUGGGUUGACGGUAGCUGGAUAAGAAGCGCCGGCUAACUACGUG